RNAcentral lists this long non-coding RNA (318 nucleotides) under Gossypium barbadense (sea-island cotton). RNAcentral describes it as "long non-coding RNA (GBAR_LNC003687)". The record is from RNAcentral. Lineage: Eukaryota; Viridiplantae; Streptophyta; Magnoliopsida; Malvales; Malvaceae.
AAACACACAAGAGUUCAUUCUUCAACUGGUUCUAUCUUUCCAUAAACAUCGGUGCUCUUAUUGCAGGCUCGGUGCUGGUUUGGGUACAAGAUAAUGUGAGCUGGGGAUGGGGUUUAGGCAUCCCAGCUAUAGCUAUGGCAAUAGCUGUCUGCUUUUUCUUUUCGGGUACUCGUUUGUAUCGGAACCAAGUGCCUGGAGGCAGCCCUAUCACACGCCUGUUUCAGGUAUUGGUGGCAUCCAUCAGGAAAUAUAAAGUUGCAGUACCUGCAAAUAAGUCUCUUUUACAUGAGACAGCAGAUAAAGAGUCCAAUAUCAAAG